This 330-nucleotide ribosomal RNA is filed under the name Gammarus sp. 2 AW-2012. Its description in RNAcentral is "partial 16S ribosomal RNA". The record is from RNAcentral. Lineage: Eukaryota; Metazoa; Arthropoda; Malacostraca; Amphipoda; Gammaridae. RNAcentral also lists the same sequence under 1 other name.
GCUAAGGUAGCAUAAUCAUUUGUUAUUUAAUUGGUAACUGGAAUGAAAGGUUAAAUUAACUUAUUAAGUUUGUGUAACUGGAUAGUAGAUUAAAGUUAAGGUAAGAAUUCUUUAAUUUUCUAGGGGACGAUAAGACCCUAGAAGCUUAACAAGCGUAGUGUUGGGUUUGUUUUAGAGGUUAGUUUGUUUUACUGGGGCGGUAAAAGCGAUUAAGCAGUUUAUUAUUUAAAGGAUCCUUUAAAUAAAGAGAGAAUGGAGAAGUUACUCUAGGGGUAACAGUGCAAUAUUUUUGGAUAGAUCUUAUUGAUAAAUAUGUUUGCAACCUCGAUG